GCAGCUGCAGCAGGAAGCGCCAGUCACAGGGUCGGGGAGGGGCCACUUUUCCCCAUGCUCCACACCAGUUCCUUCCCUGCCCUUCCCCCCACUUACCUGAGGUUCUGGCACUGGGGCAGCCACGUGGUCCCAGGCCAGAAGCCCCUGCUGGGGCUUCCGGCUGGAGGGGCAGGGCCAGGUGGACUCUGCUGUUGCAGGAGCCCACCAAGGAUUCCCCUGGGUCCUACUGCCCUUGGUUCCUGUCAUUUUUUACAAGAACCAAAGACAGAUAAAUUUAAAUUUAAAAAAAAAUUUUUAGGGGCCCCGCAGGCUGGAUAGAAUGGCCUUGUGGGCUGCAUCCGACCCGCGGGCUGUAUUUUGCCCACCCCUGUCUUAAGUCCAUCCCCCAGAUGUAGUCAAUCCUGACCUGGCCAAGAUUGCUCUGAGCUGUGUCACUCAUGCCCACAUGGAUGAGGAACAUGGGGUACACCCCAACAGAAAACCAUAGGGCCCAGGUCCACUGAGUGGGGCCUGAGAUAUGGCCAAGAUCCAACAGGUACCUGAGGCCAUAGGGGCAAGGAGCCCACAAUGAGAUGAGGGGCAAGGAUCCCAUAAGGACCAGAAACCCAGAAUGAGACCUAAGGGGCAUACAGCCCAGGAGCCCUAGUGAGGUGGCGGAGUAGAGGCCCCAGUGAGGGGGCGUAGUUGUGGCCCCAGAGAGAGGCAGGUGGCCAAGGUGCAUCUGAGAACACCUGAGGCCAGAUGUAGGCUGGAGGCUGAGUGCAGCCCAGCUAAAGGACUGAGGGAGUUGGAAGUGAUUUUUGGAUGCCAUCUGCGAGGCAUGGGACACAGUGUAUGGAUGGUUUGGAGCUGUGUAUUACACCCUUGGCAUUGGGACAUUAGAUGGGCAGCCUCCCACCUAUGGACAGCUCUUUAGUUCCAACAAAGGCGUGGCAGAAGAGUCAAGUGGGUAGACUGCCCUAGAUGGGUGAGCAGGCCAAUGUCAUGACUGGCCUUGUGAUGGCACCCUAUCACAGCCUGGCAGGUACCAUGGGGAUAGCUGUGAGCUGUGCCAUUCUGCUCUGCAUUCCUUCAUGAUGAGCACAAGAGACCAUGCAAUAUAGCAAAUCCUGCUUAAGAAUAAUUUCCCAUCUGCAGGCUCUUCUCCACUGAGCAGCAACCUCAGAACAGGCUCUGAAUGUGUUCUUGCAGGGGCCUAGUGUUUAGCAAAGCAGGGGAGGACCGUGGGGCUGCCAAAUUUCAUAUUUUGCCAUUGGUGCAAUAGUUCAGUCAAUCAGACUUAAUCUCACAACAGGCAGUAGGGCUCAUAGGUACAAGGCUGAUUUGCAUGCUGAGCACACACAGAGGUAGCAUGUAAGCAUUCAUCUUGCUGCUCCAGAGACAGAGAAAAAGACCUCUAGCUGUAAGAGCAUCUGUGCAAAAGUCUCUAUGGGCUCUGCUCUCUGAGUUAGGUUGCCUUUUUGUUAUUCCUCUUACCAUACUAUCAACAGACUUCAUAAUGAAAGCUGCCUCCAGGGUGGAAACCUUUCCACCUCUCUUUCUAAUUCUGACCUGAACUGCAGAAUUAUUAUUUUAUUUUAUUUUAUUUUAUUUUUACAUUGGAGGAUGCAAAAGUAGGCCAGGAAGUGAACAGUAAAGGUCCCACGUCUCCCUGAGACACCAGUCAUUCUUUGUGUGCCUUUGUCUGAAGCCAUUGCAAUAACAUGCCUGCAAAGGUGGUGGCCGAUUACAGACUAUGCUGUGCUGCUUUUAAACCUUUCGGCUCCAGGGGCUGGAAGAGUUGUGCGGGGUUGGUUUGUCAAUUCAGUCCAGUGCGUGGGGCCAGCCCAGCCAAGGCUUGAAUUGGCAUCUGCGGCUGGCCUGAUGCAUGGUCCCAGCCCCGGCCCUGCCACAGGCCACACCAUCUAGCCCGCAGGCCUUGGAAAUUUGGUGGUGGGGGAACAGUGGCAGUGGUAAUUGCUACUGCUCCCCAGCUGCCAAAUUUCUGGACAUGUGGGGAACCCUGCAGGCUGGAUGAUGUAACUCAGCGGGCUGGAUCUAGCCCACAGGCUGGACGUUGAGCACCGCUCUUCUGAACAUUAGGUUCCUAAUAUAACUAAUGAAAACUUCCUAUGAAACAACACAACAGUUUCCCAGCAGCUGAGAGGCAAAACCAGGUACCUGGUGCAUUGAUUUCUGAUUGCUGCCUUGACUGUACCCACUUUUUUUGCUCCCCUCUUCACCGACGCCAGCGCUCAGGGAGGUUGCCCCUGUUGGUCCUCCCUAGUUAGGCUAUUGCAGUUUCUUUAUUCCUCUGUAACCUCCAGGGUUUUCUGCAGCUCAGUUUGCCUGCUCAUGGUGCGAAUGCAGAAUGCAAAGAAACAAGUAAAACCCAUCAAUCACACUACAAAUUAGGUCACUGCUAAGAUCAGGAGCUAAUCCAUUAAUACUUGGCAAAGAAUGCUGCCAGGCAAAACAUGUCAGAGUUGAGUGGGCUAUAUUGUAAUAUGGCUUAACAGCAACGGCAUGAGGGACCUCGCAGCCAACACAAAGAGGGAGGAAGAAACAAAUUGAAGGCAGUAUGUGAAUCCACUCACAUGAUCCUAGGACCUAUUGCAAUCCUCCACCCAACUGUACAGACCGGAUAUACAUAACAUCACCUCGGUCCCAUGGCACAGAUCAUGGGACAAGUCCUGACUCCAAAUAUUUCCAGACUUCUGGGGAACCUUAAAUCUGAAUUCAGAUCUGGCUCCAAAGAGAGGGCCUCAAGCCAAGCUCUUUGUGACUGAUGAAGUACAGUGUACAAUGUAGCCAUACGUUGCUUAUUAAUAUGUCUGGAGCGAGUUUAAAUGUGGAGUUCGGUCUGAGUGCUGCCCUAGUGCAAGAAAUUAAAGGGUCUGGAAAUUUGAAUAUAUAUUUUAAUGGAAUAGCUUGGUUUCUAUAAAAUCAAGUCUCUGCUUUGCAAACCUGAUUUUUGUCCAAUUUGGGUUUUUCUUGUUUUCUUUUUUUUAAUUUUCCAGACAGGAAAUUAUCAUUAGGUCAGGGCAACCCACAUAGAUAGAGAAAUGUUGGUUGACAGAACUGAAUCAUUCCCUUCGGUCAUUUCAACAUUUGAAUUGCAUCCAUUGGGCUGCUGGCGUGUCUCAUGGGAGUAUUUCAGAGCCAGGCUAAUGCGCAUUAAUGCAUCUCAUGUAGACGUACCCGCAAAGAUCUAAUAAUAAGCUAACAACUGAACAGUUAAAGAUGUAUGUAGCUCUCCUAAACACAUCCAUCAUGCCACAUAUGUUUGCAAAGCAAAUUGAAAUGACACGGACACAAAAGGCUAGUGUUGAAUGGUGGAAAAAUAUGUUGUUUCAAAACAGAGCACUUCCUGGAAUCAUACAUGUUUCAUGUAACAAUUAAUGGAAAUCACUGUGGAAGUGGUAUGGCCAUGAAUUGUUUCAUUAUUUAUGAUGUCUGGGGUUAUGAAUUACAGACCCUGGAUGGGAAAGAAAGGGAGCAGAAUAAACUCAGCAGAAAAGAAUCCCAAACUAAGGAGAAAUAUGAAAUAACUCUAAUUUUUACUGCAUUAUCAGCAGAAUGAAGCAAAGAACAAGCAUGGCCAGAGGCUAGUGCACUGUGCAGAACAAGGUUUCAAGAAGCCAAAGGGACAUUUAACAACUUAGGACCCCACAGGAGAACUGCAAUGAAAAUUGAAAGGCAAGAAUGGCUUUGAUCAAAGGAAAACAGAGACCGCCUACAUGUGAAGAGUAGUCAUUGGGUUGAAUUCUGUUUUCAUUUACAUCCCAGCAACCCUACUAAAGGCUGAUGAGACAGAGUAAGACCCAGAUGUUCGCAGGCCAUUGACCCAGGCCAUAUAAAUAAGCCUUCCACAUAGAUGGGAAAUGGGUUUUGAUGCAAUACUGUAGGUCAAGAACCCUUUCCAGCUAUGAGAUGGAAUGACCAAACUAGGCUCAGAGACCUGUCUGCCAGCUAGGACCCAUCCACCGUUGCCACUGCCACUUCUUCCCAUCGUGCUAUGGGAGAAGACCCCCCACCACUGAAGUGCCAUGUUUAUGGGUUGGAUCCAAUAGUCCAGCCCAUGGGAUGUGAGUUGCCGACCCCUGCUGUAGGCUACUUUGUAGAUUCAUGGCUGUGAGGAAUUGCUGCGGCUCAGCGACUGCAUCUUCAAAGCCUGUUCCAUCGCGUCGCUCAGCGUAGGAGCCUGCUGAUGGAGGAGAGGGAGGUAUAGACUCCUGAGGGAUCAUCCAAUGUCAUGGCCAGCCUGGCUGGAAGCCGCAGAACGCCAAGAUAACAUCUGGGGAAAGGACUUCUCUUCUGCAGUGCUAACGAUGCAGCUAACAUGUAGCGUAACCUCCCCAAUACGCAGUGUACAUUUGUGGAAUCGGGUUACUCGAUGAUGAGAAUCUAUUGUUUUGUAGCAUAUAUGUUGUAGAGCAGCUCCCUCAUGAUGCUAGAGGUUGAUUUUCCUCCACGUUAAAAUAUGCAGCACAGUCAGGCGUAUGGUAUGUUUUCAUUGUCUUAAACCCUAAUAAAUACUGAGCAGGUUGCAAAGGAAAAAAAGCAGGUAUUUUUAGGAUGAAUGGGUCUAGCAGUGGAUCGAGGAACAGGGCGGGGGGUGCAGCCCCCCUCACAUACACUCUGGCUGUGCUGCAUAUGCACAGCGAGCUCCGGGCUUGCAGCCUGGUCAGUGCAGGCUUCUGCCAGAGCUCCAUGUGAGCCGUGCGCUCUGAGCUCACCGGCUGAUCAGCGCAGGGUCUGCCUGGAGCCCCUGCCUUCCCACAGCUCUGCAGCCCAGGGGGAGAAUGCUACUGCUAUUCGCCCUUUUCCCUCCUCCUCCUGGCCGCUGAAUUGGCAGCAGGGGAAAGGAGAGGAGUGGCAUGGUUUCUAAGUGUUGUCACCCUUUACCAAAUGAAAGCAAGGCCAGCUGUGUGUGUCAUGGGCCCUACAUGGCUAGUACACAUGAGAGAUUCGUGGUUCAUUCAAUGGCUGGGGUCUGAAUUUUUAUGGACCGUCAGCCCCGGUGUUUUAUCCUUGCCAUGACUUGACAUUGCCAGUGGGUGCAGCGUACAACAGCGUAACUAGCGGCUGUGUGCCGCUGUGGACAGCAUCGCCCUUGCUUGCUCUGAACUUGGGCCUCGGUGUUAAAGGACAAAUGCAGAGACCAAAAAAAAACGAACAAAAAAGAAGAUAAACAAAAAGACCAGGAGGUCCCUUCCACCAACACUGCAUUUUCCCACUAGAACGCACUGGAACCUAAUACUCCUGCCAUCUGCUUUCAGUCAAGGAGGCUUGCCCAUCUUGAUUUCCCAGAAUGCUCCCAGACGGUUGUGACACCCCUCGUUUGUAAUGCAGCUUGGUCGGAGAGAAUUGUGCAUGAUGAGAGAGGUUGCAAAGAGUCCAAACCCCAGGAGAGAACUGAAGGUUGAACUAAUUCCCCCGUCCUGUAAGGCAGCGUGAUCCCGUGGCAUGCAAAAUUUGGGGCUGAUUCAACCUGAAACAUCUUGAGUCAGUUUAACAAAACCCCAUCUUCUGAGCUGGGUCAACCUGACCUACAAUGAGCUCUCUGAGAUGACUUGACAGAACAAUUAUUUGUGACCAAAUCAAAAAAAAAUUCCCUUGGGAAAUACCAUCUUUUUAAAAAAAAAUUAGAAAAUCAUUCAAUAGAGAUUUUACAACAAGCUACCCCUGCCCACUAGCCAACUGUGGGGGGUGGAGGGGGUUGACUGGGGCACUAGCCCCAGACAUCAGUUUUGAGAGGGCAUAAUAGGGGCUGCCCCGCCAAACACCCCCCCCCCGCCCCCAGCUGCUACCACUACUGCAAUCGCCACUGCUACCCAAGACCCAGAACCAGGUUGUUAUGCCUCUGCCUCUUCUUCUCCCUAUGCCAGCCACAGGGAAACAAGGCUGGAAUCAGAGCAGGUUUGAGGAUCUCUUCCUGGAGGAAUCCCCUGUCCUGGGAUGAUCCUUGUGCCAUGGUUGCUGUCUAGUGCUUAGUUUUUACUACCUCCUUUACAAACCAAGCUAACCUAAAAAUGCCUGAGCCUAGUUCUCUGCCAGUGCAAACAGGCACAGCACUGUUGGCUUCAGCGGACUUGCACCAAUCUCCACCCGCAGGAAAUUUGGCCAUCGGAGUUCAGCAGGUUUCACCAUUUACCCAAAGGCAUGUGUGUUUUCUAGACACAUAAUUAAUUCUGCGGUGGGUCAGACACAGAACACCCAGUCUGCUCCACGAAACACUAACUAUUUGUAAGGCAUUUAACAUCCAGUCAGAUGUAAAUUCUCUUUUAAUAAAUCUGCGCUGUAAAAACA
Long non-coding RNA from Alligator mississippiensis (American alligator), 6291 nucleotides. RefSeq lists it as uncharacterized. The transcript has 2 exons. NCBI's taxonomy places the organism in Eukaryota, Metazoa, Chordata, Crocodylia, Alligatoridae. The record is from RefSeq and is a predicted model, not a curated record.